Molecule: regulatory RNA element, 28 nt
Organism: Croceibacter atlanticus HTCC2559
Lineage: Bacteria; Pseudomonadati; Bacteroidota; Flavobacteriia; Flavobacteriales; Flavobacteriaceae
Rfam family: L19-Flavobacteria ribosomal protein leader
Source: Rfam
UAACCUCUGGCGAGAAUCGCGAAUGUUG